RNA transcript from Sebastes umbrosus (honeycomb rockfish), 2749 nucleotides. It is a transcript of the gene named G kinase anchoring protein 1, with no coding region annotated. The record is from RefSeq and is a predicted model, not a curated record. The transcript has 13 exons. Lineage: Eukaryota; Metazoa; Chordata; Actinopteri; Perciformes; Sebastidae.
CGCCGGGCUGCCGUACUCCGGCAGAUCGCUAGUAGCACCAGACAGUAACAGUCACGCACAGCAGCGCGUUCACGGACAGGUGAAAGUACUCUUUAGACACUUUACCUCUGAGUAUUAUCUCUUCAAAACAAGUCAGCAAGUGUAUUAACAACACAAGAUCAACUUUUCCUUCUCGAGAUGGCAUCCUCUACAAUGAUCACAGUGCCAACCACCGCCUCCCGCUUCGCCCUGCUGCAGAUAGACUCCGACUCGGACUCCGACGCCUCCGAUGCGGGCAAGAGCGGCACCAAGAUCGGCCGAGACGGGAAGACCCGGCAGGGGAAGACUGGAGGAGGAGCCGGAGGGAAAGGAGCUCAGUGCAACGACAAGAAGAAAGACAAGAAGAAGAAGAAGAGGGAGCAGCAGCAGACUGAGGCGAAUGAGUUACGUAAUCUGGCCUUCAAGAAGAUUCCUCAGAAGUCGUGUGCCCCGCCUCCCUGCAUGACACUGUCAGGAAUAGCCGGUGAACUUCUCAGUCCUGCAGCAGGGGACCACAAUAUGCCGGCAGAGGGCUGGCAGCAGUGGAAGCAGAGGGAUGAGCAGAUAACCAGUGAGCUUUACGAGGCUGACUUGGAAAAGGCCUUGAUUCUCAGUAAACUGGAGUUCGAACAAAAUAAACCGAACAACAACACAAACGCAUCCUCGCCAAAGUCACGAGUAGGAAAAGAGGGCGGAGGGAAGAAGGACAAAAAGAAGAAUCAGCAGGCAAAAGACAAAAAGACAGUUUCCCUGCAGGACUUCCAGGCUGAAGGCACUGCAGAACAUGGGAGUAAGAAACAAGAGAAAGAGGACGCCAGAGUGGCUAACCUACCAGUGGGAACCGGGCAGGAGGAGCGUUUUUUUAACAAGCUUGAGGAUGACGUCACUCGGAUUAUCCAGCAGGAGAAAAGACGUGAGCAGUACACCAACAGCCACGGACAGGAAGUCAUCACCUCCACAGAACACGAACCGGAUCCCAGAGCAGAGCAGCUGAAGUACGAUCUGGAGAAGAAAGACCAGGAAAUCGAUAAGCUAAAGAAGAACAUCUCACAGUGGGAGGGGAAAUACAGAGAGGUGAAAGCAAGAAAUUCCCAGCUGCUUAAGAUGCUCCAACAGGGAGAGAUGAAAGAUAAAGCAGAACUCCUUCUACAGGUAGAAGAGCUACUACACAUAAAAGAAGAACAGUCAUUACAGGUAACAUCACUACACGCUGCCCUUGAACAAGAACGGUCUAAAGUCAAAGGUCUGCAGUCAGAACAACCGAAACAUCAGGGAAACAAGAAAGGGAAGAAAGGCCCGGAGAUGGAUCUAUGAACGUCUUUUUAGCUCGGACUCCAUGCCAGCAUAUAAUGCAUGCCCCCCUAAUUACACACACACACACACACACAGACACACAGACACACACACACACAAACACACACACACACACACACACACACACAGAUGUUGAUCUGUGCACCUAUACAUAUAGGCUAAUGCACGUACUUAUGUCCAUAUGACAUAUAAGCACCUACACUCAAACAUAACAAUGUCAUUAUAAACAAUGACAAAGUGCUUUACAAAAAAAAACACAGGAGAAAUGCAAGCCAUAUUAAUAUUGCUGUACUUUCAAAGACAUACUUAUAUUCAUUCCUUAACUCCCGUCACUAACCUCUGUCUGCAGUAGUAAAUUAUAUUAUUCAGUCCUAGCAUAACAGUCACCCUUACCUUCGUACACUUUACACUUGUAUUUCCUUUUUUUAAAAGAGGGUGCCGUAUGCUGCACACAUUGUAAAGCCUGUUGAGGCAAAUUUGUGAUUUAUGAUAUUGGGCUAUAUAAAUACAAGUAAAAAAUAAAUGUAUUUUAUGAAGUGAGAAAUGAGAAAAUGUACACAUAUACAGCCGAAGGAUUUUUAUGUUCUUUUUGUCCUUCCAGAGUGAGUGCUUGAGGUUAAUAUCAGGAUAGAAACAAUCACUGUGGUGCAGGUCAGUACAGGUACUGAUAUCCACCUCACAUACUGUAGACUUGUAGCUGUUGCAUACAUAUUCAGAGGCAGGUCAUGUAUUAUUGAUCUCUGUGCAACGCAAAGCUCAGGCCUCUUUUCAUCUUGCCACCUGGACAAUAAUGAGAGCUUCUAACACAGUCAGAUGUUCCUGGAGGCACACAGACGAUUCACACUCUCUAUCAGCAGAUUUAACCAAGAGCACAAUCUGUUGCUGUCCCCUCCCUCCCUCCUUCUCUCCCUCCCUCCCUCGCUGAUCUUGUGUCUUCUUGUCCAUCACAUGCUGUAGAGAUCAGACACACCAGGUAAUUAUACGGAGCUCCAAAAAGAUGCAUUUCCACGUUUAUCACACAGGCACAGAAAGUCUGAUUUGCAGUUAAUCUUCUCAACACACUCACACAGGAGAAACAUUUAGAUUGAAUCCAAAACUGAGAAAAACUCAUUUUAACCCUUUUGUAACUUACAACACAACCCGUGCUGCUGAUGAUUACGAACAUUUACUUUACAUAGAUGAGGCUCUUUGUGUCCAACUAUCUUUCACUGCACUGACUAUUAACACCUGUGAUUUGUUGUUCUGUAUUUAAGCUUGUAUUCAACAGAGCCACAGUAAACACACCAUGCUGCAGUGUUUCUGUGCCAUAAGGAGCGCUGCAUGUUGUAUCCCAACUGACUGGGCAACAUACGUUCACUCAUCUAGCUGACUUGUGGAUCUGAUGUAAGUCAAUAAACAUAAUUCAGUUGUACCUUAA